This 878-nucleotide long non-coding RNA is filed under the name Homo sapiens (human). RNAcentral's name for it is "HSALNT0383688". Lineage: Eukaryota; Metazoa; Chordata; Mammalia; Primates; Hominidae. The record is from RNAcentral.
AGAAACAGUGGGCUGGUAGAGAAGGAGACACAUUUGUGCAAUAUUUAGGAAGCAAAAUUGUAGAGCAGGAAUGGAUCUGAAGUCAAUGAAAAACUCUUCAUAGCUCUAGUUGUUGGGCUUCCCCAGAAGAUGACAUUGAAAGGAAGGUUUGGAUGCAAGUUGUUCAUUUAGGAGGAGAUCUCAGGAAGCACAAAGUAUUUCCUUGAGUCAGGACCUCCAAGUCCUCCCCUAACUAGCCACUGUGCCUUCUCCAGGUAGAAACAGCUUUCUGUCUCAUGACUGACACCCUUCCUUGGUUCCUGUCAUCUGUAGCCAGGUAUGCUGGGUGCUGGAGAGAGCCCUGGACUUGGAGUCAAAAGACUGCAGUUGGAGCAGAGGAUCUUCCCUCAGAAGUUCUGCUGUGGGCUGAGUCGUUUCACCUCUCUGGGCCCCAGAUGGACCUUUGUAAAACUGAGUGGAGGCGAGGAGGUGCAGCAGGUCCAUAAAUUCAUCAGCUUCCCAGGCUGCUUCCACCUUUGCUACAUGUGGCCUCAUCCUUACAGCCCAAGAUGGCUCCUAGGGCUCUAGCCAUCACAUGCUGGUACCAGAGAGCAAGAUGACUGAAGGGGAGGAAAGAGAGCAUGUGCUUGUCUCGUGAAGAGAUUUCCUGGAAGUUACACAAAACAUUUCUGUUUUCAGCUUGUUGACUAGAACAUAGUCGUCUGUCAUACUUAGUGUGGAGGGUGACCAAAGAGGGAGUGUUUUGUCUGAAUAGCAUUGCAUCCAGCCAGAUAGCGAGGGCAAGUAGCUGGAGGGAAGAGGAAGACAGACAUUGUAGAGGAAGCUAGCAGUGACUCCCCCCCAGAUUAUAUCCUAUUAAUAAAAGUAAGAACCUAAUU